CAGCAGCCACGGGAAUACGUAGGGUGCAAGCGUUAUCCGGAUUUAUUGGGUUUAAAGGGUCCGUAGGCGGAUCUGUAAGUCAGUGGUGAAAUCUCACAGCUUAACUGUGAAACUGCCAUUGAUACUGCAGGUCUUGAGUAAAUUUGAAGUGGCUGGAAUAAGUAGUGUAGCGGUGAAAUGCAUAGAUAUUACUUAGAACACCAAUUGCGAAGGCAGGUCACUAAGAUUUAACUGACGCUGAUGGACGAAAGCGUGGGGAGCGAACAGGAUUAGAUACCCCUGUAGUCCCUGUCUCUUAUAC
This 301-nucleotide ribosomal RNA is filed under the name uncultured bacterium. RNAcentral describes it as "partial 16S ribosomal RNA". It matches the Rfam family "Bacterial small subunit ribosomal RNA", at positions 509 to 807 of the family's 1533-position model. The record is from RNAcentral.